Long non-coding RNA from Ahaetulla prasina, 351 nucleotides. RefSeq lists it as uncharacterized. The transcript is spliced from 4 exons. The record is from RefSeq and is a predicted model, not a curated record. NCBI's taxonomy places the organism in Eukaryota, Metazoa, Chordata, Lepidosauria, Squamata, Colubridae.
AAAAGACGCUGUCACUUUAAAUUGACAGAGCGGCUGGAAGCUCGUUUCUGGGUCAGCUGAACAACAAACUGGAUAAGACAUCCCCGUCGUCACAGGAUUUACAUUUGGAUGCUUGACAGCUGGUUCUUAUUUAUGACGGUUGCAGUGUCCCCAGGGCAAGCAUGCUAGGCUAUUACUGCAUAGCAACGUCUCUUUCUCAAGCACUUGAAAUUCAGAAUAACAGAGCUGGAAGGUGACUUUGGAGGUCUUCUAGUCCAACCCUCUGCUCAAGCAAGUAACCCUGUACCAUUUCAGAUAAAUGGUUUUACAAUCUCUUCUUAAAAACCUCCAGUGUUGGAGCAUCCACAACUU